Trifolium pratense (red clover) is the source of this 217-nucleotide long non-coding RNA. RefSeq lists it as uncharacterized. The record is from RefSeq and is a predicted model, not a curated record. The transcript has 3 exons. NCBI's taxonomy places the organism in Eukaryota, Viridiplantae, Streptophyta, Magnoliopsida, Fabales, Fabaceae.
CGUCUAUCUAAUUUUGGUUCUCUUGAUGAAAAUUGAUUGCAGACAUGGAUUGAUCACCCUCCCCAACACUAGUUAAAGAGUUCUGAAAUUUAGGAGCCUUGAAGUUGAAUUGCUCUGUUGUCCGAGUUUGUAGCCGAGAGGAAAAAGUCAUGGACACGCUAGUGUUCUGGACAGUUGUUGAUGUCAUUGGAAUCUCUCUAACCAUACCUUCUUUACA